ACUCCGUGUUGUCGUGUGAACUGCAGGCACACAUGAACAUCGACACUUUGAACGCAAAUGGCGGCCCUCG
RNAcentral lists this ribosomal RNA (70 nucleotides) under Thrips tabaci. RNAcentral describes it as "partial 5.8S ribosomal RNA". The record is from RNAcentral. Lineage: Eukaryota; Metazoa; Arthropoda; Insecta; Thysanoptera; Thripidae.